This 443-nucleotide ribosomal RNA is filed under the name uncultured Clostridium sp. Its description in RNAcentral is "bacterial SSU rRNA". It matches the Rfam family "Bacterial small subunit ribosomal RNA", at positions 338 to 795 of the family's 1533-position model. Lineage: Bacteria; Bacillati; Bacillota; Clostridia; Eubacteriales; Clostridiaceae. The record is from RNAcentral.
CCUACGGGUGGCUGCAGUGGGGAAUAUUGCGCAAUGGGCGAAAGCCUGACGCAGCGACGCCGCGUGGGUGACGAAGGCCUUCGGGUCGUAAAACCCUGUUGCAGGGGACGAAGGAAGUGACGGUACCCUGCCAGAAAGCCCCGGCUAACUACGUGCCAGCAGCCGCGGUAAAACGUAGGGGGCGAGCGUUGUCCGGAAUUACUGGGCGUAAAGGGCGUGUAGGCGGGGGUACAAGUCAGGUGUGAAAUACCGCGGCUCAACUGCGGGGGUGCAUCUGAAACUGUACUUCUUGAGUGUCGGAGAGGAAAGCGGAAUUCCCAGUGUAGCGGUGAAAUGCGUAGAGAUUGGGAGGAACACCAGUGGCGAAGGCGGCUUUCUGGACGACAACUGACGCUGAGGCGCGAGAGCGUGGGGAGCGAACAGGAUUAGAUACCCCGGUAGUC